CAGGACUCGCAAGACUCCCGUAAACCACUGUGAACUUACCUACAACCCGUUGCCUCGGCGGGUGCUCCGGGCGCGUCUUCGGGCGCUCCGGGGCGCUCCAGCCCGCCGGCCGGCCCCUAAACUCUGUCUCUGUAACGUUGGCAUCUCCGAGCAGACUAUAAACGAGUCA
Molecule: unclassified non-coding RNA, 169 nt
Filed under: soil metagenome
Description: partial internal transcribed spacer 1
Source: RNAcentral